GGGGAGGUGCCAGAGUGGACGAUUGGGGCCGCCUGCUAAGCGGCUGUGGGGGGAAACCUCCACCCAGGGUUCGAAUCCCUGCCUCCCCG
Molecule: transfer RNA, 89 nt
Filed under: Thermoflexia bacterium
Lineage: Bacteria; Bacillati; Chloroflexota; Thermoflexia
Also listed under: 1 other name
Description: tRNA-Ser
Rfam family: tRNA
About the family: Transfer RNA (tRNA) molecules are approximately 80 nucleotides in length.
Source: RNAcentral